RNAcentral lists this transfer RNA (85 nucleotides) under Felis catus (domestic cat). It matches the Rfam family "tRNA". From Rfam's summary of the family: Transfer RNA (tRNA) molecules are approximately 80 nucleotides in length. Their secondary structure includes four short double-helical elements and three loops (D, anti-codon, and T loops). The record is from Rfam by way of RNAcentral. Lineage: Eukaryota; Metazoa; Chordata; Mammalia; Carnivora; Felidae. RNAcentral also lists the same sequence under 1 other name.
GCCUGGGUGGCUCAGUCGGUUGAGUGUCCGACUUUGGCUCAGGUCAUGAUCUCACGGUUUGUGGGUUCGAGCCCCACGUCUGGCU